This 501-nucleotide ribosomal RNA is filed under the name uncultured bacterium. RNAcentral's name for it is "partial 16S ribosomal RNA". It matches the Rfam family "Bacterial small subunit ribosomal RNA", at positions 30 to 523 of the family's 1533-position model. The record is from RNAcentral.
AUUGAACGCUGGCGGCAGGCUUAACACAUGCAAGUCGAGCGGGGGAAGGUAGCUUGCUACCGGACCUAGCGGCGGACGGGUGAGUAAUGCUUAGGAAUCUGCCUAUUAGUGGGGGACAACAUCUCGAAAGGGAUGCUAAUACCGCAUACGUCCUACGGGAGAAAGCAGGGGAUCUUCGGACCUUGCGCUAAUAGAUGAGCCUAAGUCGGAUUAGCUAGUUGGUGAGGUAAAGGCCUACCAAGGCGACGAUCUGUAGCGGGUCUGAGAGGUUGAUCCGCCACACUGGGACUGAGACACGGCCCAGACUCCUACGGGAGGCAGCAGUGGGGAAUAUUGGACAAUGGGGGGAACCCUGAUCCAGCCAUGCCGCGUGUGUGAAGAAGGCCUUAUGGUUGUAAAGCACUGUAAGCGAGGAGGAGGCUACUCUAGUUAAUACCUAGGGAUAGUGGACGUUACUCGCAGAAUAAGCACCGGCUAACUCUGUGCCAGCCGCCGCGGUAA